UCUGUGACUCUACGGGAGGCAGCAGUGGGGAAUAUUGCACAAUGGGCGCAAGCCUGAUGCAGCCAUGCCGCGUGUGUGAAGAAGGCCUUCGGGUUGUAAAGCACUUUCAGUUGUGAGGAAGGUGGUGUCGUUAAUAGCGGCAUCAUUUGACGUUAGCAACAGAAGAAGCACCGGCUAACUCCGUGCCAGCAGCCGCGGUAAUACGGAGGGUGCGAGCGUUAAUCGGAAUUACUGGGCGUAAAGCGCAUGCAGGUGGUUUGUUAAGUCAGAUGUGAAAGCCCGGGGCUCAACCUCGGAACUGCAUUUGAAACUGGCAGACUAGAGUACUGUAGAGGGGGUAGAAUUUCAGGUGUAGCGGUGAAAUGCGUAGAGAUCUGAAGGAAUACCGGUGGCGAAGGCGGCCCCCUGGACAGAUACUGACACUCAGAUGCGAAAGCGUGGGGAGCAAACAGGAUUAGAUACCCUGGUAG
Molecule: ribosomal RNA, 470 nt
Filed under: uncultured bacterium
Lineage: Bacteria
Description: bacterial SSU rRNA
Rfam family: Bacterial small subunit ribosomal RNA
Source: RNAcentral